Molecule: long non-coding RNA, 1245 nt
Organism: Ornithorhynchus anatinus (platypus)
Lineage: Eukaryota; Metazoa; Chordata; Mammalia; Monotremata; Ornithorhynchidae
Exons: 3
Source: RefSeq, a predicted model, not a curated record
CAACUCAUUUUCUUUUUUUUUUUUUGGGUCUCUAGAGACCUGCCGCUUCAUGGACAAAGUUGUACUCCUUAAUUGGAAGUGAUGAAAAGAUCACCAGAAAUUGUCGGUCCUCACCCAGGAAGGCCAAAAUCAUUUCAUCUCUCAGGACACAUGGAAACCAGCCGUACCCUGCCGAGUGUCAUCAGAACAGAGGAAGCCGAAGAGGCCUGUGCUCACUCCGGGUCGAGUCCAAGCGUACCUUCCUGCUCAAGGAUUGAAUGAUCCAGACCCACUGAAGUUGGAAACGCGGACCCUCCGGGAGCCUUAACGCAAUUUAAAAGCCUUGCCGGAAGCAGGACAAUUGCUGAAAUGUUCAAAUUUAUCCAUCUGGGGGCUGUGUGGAAAGACUUCCUGAAAACAAAUCAGGAGAUUUGUCUGCGUUUGGAAAGACCCCAGGUCGCUAUUCCAAUACUGCCCAACUCAGUCGUUGGCAUUUCUCUGGCUGUAAACUAUUACAGUCACUUUGAUGGCUUGUGUUAAAGAAAUGUAUUUCCUGCAGUGGGUGGCAUUUAAAUUUCUUUUGUCUGUAAAGAAACUCUCACUUUAUGCAGAGUAUGUUGUGCUUCUUCCUCCCAAGUCACAGGUAAUGAUUAUUAAUGGAGACCAUGUCAUUCUCCCUGGUUGACCUGCUAAACAAAAGAAUAAAAAUCUAAAGGAAACAGAAUUAAUAACUCUAUCUCAAUGCAUCCCACAGAUAAGCUGGUAGUUGAAGGGUCAGAUGCGCAUACUUAGAUUGUUAACUAGCUUUUCUGUAAUGAAAAAGCAACCCUUAUCUAUAAGCUUAUGAAUAAUGUGUGUCAUAAAAACAGUAGAUUUGAUUAUCUUAGUUUCAGAUUCAUGGGAAACUUUUCCACGACAAUGACAAUCAUGCAAUAUUAAUCACAAAUUUGAGAAUCUAUUAGGAGUAAAUUUCACCACCUUCCUCAGGUAGAUCCUUAUUUAUCAUUUCAGAGGAAGUGAAUGAAAUAUUUUUGAAGACAAGAACUUCACGGUGCAUAUUGCAUUUUGUGUCAAAUCUAUAUCAUUUUAUCCCAAAGAAUGAAUCGAGAAGACAUAGAAUGCAUUGUAAAUACAGUUCUUAUUUGCCCUCCACUAUUGCUCCUAUUGAUAUUUAUUGUUAAUUUUAUUAAUUUUGUACAUAGGACGAUGGUGUUAGACUCAAUUUAGUUAGAAAAAUUAGCAGAAAUUUUUUUUAAGGAAACAAAU